UGAGGAAUAUUGGUCAAUGGGCGCGAGCCUGAACCAGCCAAGUCGCGUGAGGGAAGACGGUCCUAUGGAUUGUAAACCUCUUUUGCCGGGGAGCAAGGUCUGGCACGCGUGCCGGAUCUGAGAGUACCCGGAGAAAAAGCAUCGGCUAACUCCGUGCCAGCAGCCGCGGUAAUACGGAGGAUGCGAGCGUUAUCCGGAUUUAUUGGGUUUAAAGGGUGCGUAGGCGGACUGUCAAGUCAGCGGUAAAAUUGAGAGGCUCAACCUCUUCCCGCCGUUGAAACUGGUGGUCUUGAGUGGAUGAGAAGUACGCGGAAUGCGUGGUGUAGCGGUGAAAUGCAUAGAUAUCACGCAGAACUCCGAUUGCGAAGGCAGCGUACCGGCAUCCGACUGACGCUGAGGCACGAAAGCGUGGGGAUCAAACAGG
RNAcentral lists this ribosomal RNA (424 nucleotides) under uncultured bacterium. RNAcentral describes it as "bacterial SSU rRNA". It matches the Rfam family "Bacterial small subunit ribosomal RNA", at positions 355 to 776 of the family's 1533-position model. The record is from RNAcentral.